AUUGAACGCUGGCGGCAGGCCUAACACAUGCAAGUCGAGCGGAUGAAGGGAGCUUGCUCCUGGAUUCAGCGGCGGGCGGGUGAGUAAUGCCUAGGAAUCUGCCUGGUAGUGGGGGAUAACGUCCGGAAACGGGCGCUAAUACCGCGUACGUCCUGAGGGAGAAAGUGGGGGAGCUUCGGACCUCACGCUAUCAGAUGAGCCUAGGUCGGAUUAGCUAGUUGGUGGGGUAAAGGCCUACCAAGGCGACGAUCCGUAACUGGUCUGAGAGGAUGAUCAGUCACACUGGAACUGAGACACGGUCCAGACUCCUACGGGAGGCAGCAGUGGGGAAUAUUGGACAGUGGGCGAAAGCCUGAUCCAGCCAUGCCGCGUGUGUGAAGAAGGUCUUCGGAUUGUAAAGCACUUUAAGUUGGGAGGAAGGGCAGUAAGUUAAUACCUUGCUGUUUUGACGUUAACAACAGAAUAAGCACCGGCUAACUUCGUG
Molecule: ribosomal RNA, 484 nt
Filed under: uncultured bacterium
Lineage: Bacteria
Description: partial 16S ribosomal RNA
Rfam family: Bacterial small subunit ribosomal RNA
Source: RNAcentral